CGCAGGCGGUGCGGCAAGUCUGAUGUGAAAGCCCGGGGCUCAACCCCGGUACUGCAUUGGAAACUGUCGUACUAGAGUGUCGGAGGGGUAAGUGGAAUUCCCAGUGUAGCGGUGAAAUGCGUAGAUAUUAGGAGGAACACCAGUGGCGAAGGCGGCUUACUGGACGAUAACUGACGCUGAGGCUCGAAAGCGUGGGGAGCAAACA
This 205-nucleotide ribosomal RNA is filed under the name uncultured bacterium. Its description in RNAcentral is "partial 16S ribosomal RNA". It matches the Rfam family "Bacterial small subunit ribosomal RNA", at positions 570 to 774 of the family's 1533-position model. The record is from RNAcentral.